GCCGGGCGUGGUGGCGGGCGCCUGUAGUCCCAGCUACUCCGGAGGCUGAGGCAGGAGAAUGGCGUGAACCCAUGAGGCGGAGCUUGCAGUGAGCCGAGAUCGCGUCACUGCACUCCAGCCUGGGUGACAGAGCGAGACUCCAUCUCAAAAAAAAAAAGGCUUUUUUUUUUUUUUUUUUUUUGAGACAGAGUCUCACUCUUGUUGCCCAGGCUGGAGUGCAGUGGCGCGAUCUCGGCUCACUGCAACCUCCGUCUCCCGGGUUCAAGUGAUUCUCCUGCCUCAG
Molecule: signal recognition particle RNA, 283 nt
Filed under: Pongo abelii (Sumatran orangutan)
Lineage: Eukaryota; Metazoa; Chordata; Mammalia; Primates; Hominidae
Description: Metazoan signal recognition particle RNA (ENSPPYG00000040574.1)
Rfam family: Metazoan signal recognition particle RNA
About the family: The signal recognition particle (SRP) is a universally conserved ribonucleoprotein. It is involved in the co-translational targeting of proteins to membranes.
Source: Rfam by way of RNAcentral